This 27-nucleotide non-coding RNA is filed under the name Mus musculus (house mouse). The record is from RNAcentral. Lineage: Eukaryota; Metazoa; Chordata; Mammalia; Rodentia; Muridae.
UCGGUGACACUAGUGAAUCUCGAUGUG